CACUCGACCCCUCACUCGACCA
Molecule: non-coding RNA, 22 nt
Filed under: Arabidopsis thaliana (thale cress)
Lineage: Eukaryota; Viridiplantae; Streptophyta; Magnoliopsida; Brassicales; Brassicaceae
Source: RNAcentral